This 86-nucleotide microRNA precursor is filed under the name Procavia capensis (Cape rock hyrax). RNAcentral describes it as "microRNA 1224 (ENSPCAG00000020065.1)". It matches the Rfam family "mir-1224 microRNA precursor family". Lineage: Eukaryota; Metazoa; Chordata; Mammalia; Hyracoidea; Procaviidae. The record is from RNAcentral.
GUGAGGACUCGGGAGGUGGAGGGUGGUGUCACCAGGGCCAGGGCACAGUCUCAGCGCGCUCCUCCCCCCACCUCCUCUCUCCUCAG